This is a non-coding RNA of Cyanistes caeruleus (blue tit), 1383 nucleotides long. The record is from RefSeq and is a predicted model, not a curated record. NCBI's taxonomy places the organism in Eukaryota, Metazoa, Chordata, Aves, Passeriformes, Paridae.
GCUCCCCUUGGGACGCGGGGACACAAAGGGGGCGAUAGUCCUACCCUGCCUCCCGUUAGCGCAGGUGUCGAGUGGGCCGGGAGGCAGAUACACGUCCGCGUGGCGCUUUUCUGCAUGUGAAAUCGGGGGCAAAGUGCGUUUAGUAGCUUCCAUGGUGAGGGCAGGGAGCGUGUGGGAGUUCGAGGUGACAGCUAAGGACACGCAUGGAGAGGCCUCACAAUGUCGGGAUCUGUGUCACGGCGUAACAGAGUGGUUUCCUUGCAGUUGCAUAAAGCACAUUCUUGCUUAAGAAUAGUGAUGAGGGAAGAGGAUCAAAGAACUAUAAAGCCGCUGCCGGGAAGAGUACAGCUCUUUCCUGUGCAGCUUCCUGAUUGAAACAAACUGUGUUACAGUGGACUGGAGCCUGGAUCCUCCGUGAGCUUACACAGCUGUGUUGCACUGAGAUAUGGUAAAGAGCUCAGUCACAGUGAUUUAUUGACACAAAAUCAGAAGGAGAAUCUUCUAAAUGGCCAGUCAGCUGAAGAAGCCAGACUGGGAACAUCUGUAUCUUCCCACCUGAAAACCUCACCUGUUGCUUGCUCCUACAGAGUACCUGGAAACACUGACCACUCACUUUGCCAGUUGAAGACCCAGUCAACUCUGCUGGAAGCCUGGGAUCAUGGAUAAGGAGACAAGCUAUAGCACUGUGCUGCAAGUAUGGGAAGCAUGGGAUUAGUUUUGUGGCGGCUUCAAGGGGGGGAACAGUCUGGAUCAACACAAAAUCACACCAUGUACCUGAGACUGUUGUCAAAAUGCUUCCCGAACUCCAUCAUACCUGGAGCUGUGAUUACUUCCCCAGGAAGCCUGUUCCAGUGCCCAACUACCCUCUGGAAAGCCUGGGGACACGUAGGAUUCAUCUCCCAUUUCUGCUGAAACUGGUGACCAAACUUGCAGCGGAUCAAGUGGAAGCAAGGUCAGGUGGUCAUCUUGUGAAAUCCUCUGGUCCAAUGCAUCUGGGGAGGCUGUAAAUACACAGGACACAGUCUGAGAAGUCUAUUUACCACCAGCGGUGUACUCAGGACUGAUUCCAGCACAGCCAUUAUGGAGAGUCCAAGGCUGCUGCAAACCCCAGGAACAAAGGAAUUGCAUAUCACAGCAGCAUUGCGGUCUUUGCCCAGAAGAGAUUUUCUUUAGGAGGGUGGAGGGUAGAAAUGAAAAACCUGAGGUCUGGCUCUGUAAUCUCCUUCUGUCUAUCUGCGGGCAGGUUACUCCCACUGUCACGCUGCUCUUGAAGUCUCUCCACAUCUACUCUAAGAGGUAAUUGCUGAGACCCAGCAGCACCCUGAGCUUCUGCAGUCAUUCCUCCUUCCCAUCUUCAAGACAAAUGCACUCCAUUUAUCAUAA